GUGCCGUUGGAGCCCCGCCCCUCCCCCGCUCGGGGGCCGCCAUUGGCUGUCGCCGAUUGGGGGCGGGGCCUGGACCCGGAAGUGCUGCGGGAGCGAAUCUUCAGAGGGGGCGUGGUCCCCGAGCUCCGGCCCCGGGCCUGGCCCUUCCUGCUGGGGCUGCGGAAUUUGGGGGACCCCGGGGGGACCCCCGAGAGCCCCGAGGGGACCCCGGACCCCGCCCGGGCCCGCAGGGACGAUUAUUUCCGGAUGAAGCUCCAGUGGCGCUCGCUGAGCCCGGGGCAGCUGCGGAGGAACAAAAUCCUCAGGGGGUACCUGGAACGGAUCGGUGAGACCCCAAAAAUCCCCAAAAAUCACCCCAAAAUAACCCCAAAAAUCACCCCAAAAAUCCCCCAAAAUCACCCCAAACUGAGCCCUCAGGGGGUACCUGGAACGGAUCGGUGAGACCCCAAAAACCCCCAAAAUCACCCCAAAAUCACCCCAAAAUCACCCCAAAAUCACCCCAAACUGAGCCCUCAGGGGGUACCUGGAACGGAUGGGUGAGACCUCAAAAAUUACCCAAAAUCACCCCAAAAUGGCCCAAAAAUUAACCCAAACUGUCCCAAAAAUCACCCCAAAAUGGCCCAAAAAUUACCCCUAAACUGCCCCAAAAAUGAGUCCAAAUCUUCCCAAAAAGUCCCAAAAUUUCCACAAACGUUCUCUAAUCACCCUAAAAGUCCCCAAAAUGUCCCCAAAAUGUCCCAAACAUCCCAAAAAUGUCCCCAAAAAAUCUCCAAAAUGUCCCAAAAAAUCCCAAAAUGUCCCAAAAUGUCUCAAAAUGUCCCCAAAAAAAUCUCCAAAAAAUCCCAAAAUAUCCCCAAAAAAUCCUAAAAUGUCCCCCAAAAAAAUCGCAAAUCUCCCCCAAAUCCUUCCCCAGAAAUCCCAAAAAGUCUCCAAAAAAUCCCAAAAAAUCCCAAAAUGUCCCAAAAAAAAUCCCAAAAAUCCCAAAUCUCCCCAAAAAAUCAAAAAAAAUCCCAAAUCUCCCCAAAAAGUCCCCAAAUGUCCCCCAAAAAAUCCCAAAUCUCCCCCAAAUCCUUCCCCAGAAAUCCCAAAAUGUUCCAAAAAAUCAAAAAAAUCCCAAAAUCUCCCAAAAAGUCCCAAAUAAAAUCCCAAAAAAAUCCCCAAAAAAAUCUCAAAAAAAUCCCAAAUCUCCCCCAAAUCCUUCCCCAGAAAUCCCAAAAUGUUCCAAAAAAUCCCAAAAAAAUCCCAAAAUCUCCCAAAAAGUCCCAAAUAAAAUCCAAAAAAAAUCCCCCAAAAAAUCUCCAAAAAAUCCCAAAACGUCCCAAAAUCUCCCCCAAAAUCUCCUCAAAAAGUCCCAAAUGUCCCCAAAAAUCCCAAAAUGUCCCCAAAAAAAUGUCCAAAAAAUCCCAAAAUAUUGCCAAAAAAAAAAUCUCAAAAAAUCCCAAAAUUACCAAAAAUAUCCAAAAAUGUCCCAAAAUGUCCCCAAAAAAAACCAAAAAUGUCCCCAAAAAAUCCCAAAAUGUCCCGAAAAAAUCUUCAAAAAUCCCCAAAAAUCCUUAAAAAAUCCCCAAAAACUCCCCAAAAAAACCCCAAAAAAUCUCCAAAAAAUCCCAAAAAAUCCCAAAAUGUCCCAAAAAAUCCCAAAUCUCCCCAAAAUGUCCCAAAAUGUCCCAAAUUUGCCCAAAUCUCCCAGAUCGGGACCUGGCCGGGGAUCCGUCGGCGCCGCGGCUGCGGGAACUGCUCCGGACAUUCUGCAUGUUCCACUUCGACCUCGGGUACGUGAGGGGGAUGAACGAGCUCCUGGCCCCUCUCGCCGCCGUCUGCGCCGACGAGGCCGAAGCGUUUUGGGCCUUUUGCGCCGUCAUGGAGAUGGUGGGUGA
Taeniopygia guttata (zebra finch) is the source of this 1877-nucleotide long non-coding RNA. NCBI's taxonomy places the organism in Eukaryota, Metazoa, Chordata, Aves, Passeriformes, Estrildidae. The record is from Ensembl.